GAUGAACGCUGGCGGCGUGCCUAACACAUGCAAGUCGAACGGAAAGGCCCUGCUUUUGUGGGGUGCUCGAGUGGCGAACGGGUGAGUAACACGUGUGUAACCUGCCCUUGACUUUCGGAGAACAUCAGGAGACUGCGGCUAAUACCGGAUAGGAGCUCCUGAUGCAUGGUGGGGGUUGGAAAGAUUCGGCGGUUGGGGAUGGACUCGCGGCUUAUCAGCUUGUUGGUGGGGUAGUGGCUUACGAAGGCUUUGACGGAUAGCCGGCCUGAGAGGGUGACCGGCGACAAUGGUACUGAGAUACGGACCAGUCUCCUACGGGAGGCAACAGUCGGGAGUAUUGCACAGUGGGGGGAAGUGUGAUACAGCGACGCCGCGUGCGGAAUGAUGGCCUUCGGGGUGUAAACCGCUUUCACCUGUGACGAAGCGUGAGUGACGGUAAUGGGUAAAGAAGCACCGGCUAACUACGUG
This 468-nucleotide ribosomal RNA is filed under the name uncultured bacterium. Its description in RNAcentral is "partial 16S ribosomal RNA". It matches the Rfam family "Bacterial small subunit ribosomal RNA", at positions 28 to 507 of the family's 1533-position model. The record is from RNAcentral.